RNAcentral lists this ribosomal RNA (422 nucleotides) under uncultured prokaryote. RNAcentral describes it as "bacterial SSU rRNA". It matches the Rfam family "Bacterial small subunit ribosomal RNA", at positions 355 to 774 of the family's 1533-position model. The record is from RNAcentral.
UGAGGAAUAUUGGUCAAUGGACGCAAGUCUGAACCAGCCAUGCCGCGUGCAGGAUGACGGCUCUAUGAGUUGUAAACUGCUUUUGUACGAGGGUAAACUCACCUACGUGUAGGUGACUGAAAGUAUCGUACGAAUAAGGAUCGGCUAACUCCGUGCCAGCAGCCGCGGUAAUACGGAGGAUUCAAGCGUUAUCCGGAUUUAUUGGGUUUAAAGGGUGCGUAGGCGGUUAGAUAAGUUAGAGGUGAAAUCCCGGGGCUUAACUCCGAAAUUGCCUCUAAUACUGUUUGACUAGAGAGUAGUUGCGGUAGGCGGAAUGUAUGGUGUAGCGGUGAAAUGCUUAGAGAUCAUACAGAACACCGAUUGCGAAGGCAGCUUACCAAACUAUAUCUGACGUUGAGGCACGAAAGCGUGGGGAGCAAACA